Molecule: unclassified non-coding RNA, 250 nt
Filed under: uncultured Sordariales
Lineage: Eukaryota; Fungi; Ascomycota; Sordariomycetes; Sordariales
Description: sequence contains 5.8S rRNA gene
Rfam family: 5.8S ribosomal RNA (bases 1-53)
Source: RNAcentral
GAACGCACAUUGCGCCCGCUAGUAUUCUGGCGGGCAUGCCUGUUCGAGCGUCAUUUCAACCAUCAAGUCCCCGGGCUUGCGUUGGGGCCCUGCGGCUGCCGCAGGCCCUGAAAAUCAGUGGCGGGCUCGCUGUCACACCGAGCGCAGUAGCAAUAUCUCGCUCUGGGCGUGGCGCGGGUGCUUGCCGUAAAACACACCACUUUUCAGAAGGUUGACCUCGGAUCAGGUAGGAAUACCCGCUGAACUUAAG